AGAGUUUGAUUAUGGCUCAGGAUAAACGCUGACAGAAUGCUUAACACAUGCAAGUCGAUGAUGAGCUAUAGCUUGCUAUAGUAAGUCAUGGCGGACGGGUGAGUAACGCGUAAAGAACUUACCUCAUAGACUGGGAUAACAGAGGGAAACUUCUGAUAAGACUGGAUAAGUUGGUUAUUAGCAUUAAUAACGAAUGAAAGGGGACACUAUGAGAGAGCUUUGCGUCCUAUUAGCUAGUUGGUGGGGUAAAGGCCUACCAAGGCGAUGAUAGGUAGCCGGCCUGAGAGGGUGGACGGCCACAAGGGGACUGAGAUACGGCCCUU
Molecule: ribosomal RNA, 323 nt
Filed under: uncultured bacterium
Lineage: Bacteria
Description: bacterial SSU rRNA
Rfam family: Bacterial small subunit ribosomal RNA
Source: RNAcentral